AUGAUGGGACCUCUAUCUCAGCUCUUGUGUUUUCUGAUGCUUUUUCUCUCAGAUUUGAAAAUAGGCAAUGCCAUAACUCAGUCUCCAGCUUCUCUGUCUGUCCAUCCUGGGGAAAGAGUCACCAUCACCUGCCAAACCAAUCCCAAGGAGAACAUUAAGUUUUCAUGGUAUAAACAACCACCAGGCCGGAUUCCUAAACCUCUUGUAUAUGAUACAUCCACCCGAGUUCCAGGAGUCCCAGAACGUUUCAGUGGCAGUCGUUCUGGAACAGCUUUUACCCUUUCCAUCAGCAAUGUGGAGACAAAUGAUACUGGCUCUUAUUUCUGCCUGGAGUGGCCAGGAUACCACAGUGUCCAAAGACCAUGGAUAUUAGACAGAACAGAGUUCACUCUCACCAUCAGCAAGCUGCAGUCUGAAGAUGUUAAGACUUAUUACUGUCAACAAGGUUAUGAUUAUCCUCCCACAGUCAGGAGCAUUGGUAUGAGAACAUCUCUUGUAAUUAAGAACAGAAAUAUACUGAAUGCCAGUGAUGCACACCUCUAA
This is a non-coding RNA of Dipodomys ordii (Ord's kangaroo rat), 543 nucleotides long. Lineage: Eukaryota; Metazoa; Chordata; Mammalia; Rodentia; Heteromyidae. The record is from the annotation of a RefSeq genome assembly.